RNAcentral lists this unclassified non-coding RNA (269 nucleotides) under uncultured fungus. RNAcentral describes it as "sequence contains ITS2". The record is from RNAcentral. Lineage: Eukaryota; Fungi.
AACGCACAUUGCGCCCAUUAGUAUUCUAGUGGGCAUGCCUGUUCGAGCGUCAUUUCAACCCUCAGCGCCCCGUCAGGGGACUGGUGUUGGGGCCCUUGCCUCCCCGGCAAGCCCCGAAGAGCAGUGGCGGGCCCCCCGGGACUCCGAGCGCAGUAGUUUACGCCUCGCUUCGGAGCGCCUAGCGGGCGACACCGGCCGUUAAAAGCGCUGGAGACAGCAUUCUUUACAAGGUUGACCUCGGAUCAGGUAGGAAUACCCGCUGAACUUAA